Molecule: ribosomal RNA, 492 nt
Filed under: uncultured bacterium
Lineage: Bacteria
Description: partial 16S ribosomal RNA
Rfam family: Bacterial small subunit ribosomal RNA
Source: RNAcentral
AUUGAACGCUGGCGGCAUGCUUUACACAUGCAAGUCGAACGGUAACAGGCCUUCGGGUGCUGACGAGUGGCGCACGGGUGCGUAAUGCAUCGGAACGUACCCAGAGGUGGGGGAUAACGCAGCGAAAGCUGUGCUAAUACCGCAUGUGAUCUGAGGAUGAAAGCGGGGGACCGAGCAGCAAUGUUUGGCCUCGCGCCUUUGGAGCGGCCGAUGUCGGAUUAGCUAGUUGGUGGGGUAAAGGCCUACCAAGGCGACGAUCCGUAGCUGGUCUGAGAGGACGAACAGCCACACUGGGACUGAGACACGGCCCAGACUCCUACGGGAGGCAGCAGUGGGGAAUUUUGGACAAUGGGCGCAAGCCUGAUCCAGCAAUGCCGCGUGCGGGAAGAAGGCCUUCGGGUUGUAAACCGCUUUUGGCAGGAACGAAACGGUGUCCGCUAAUACCGGGCGCUAAUGACGGUACCUGCAGAAUAAGCACCGGCUAACUACGUG